RNAcentral lists this ribosomal RNA (515 nucleotides) under uncultured bacterium. Its description in RNAcentral is "partial 16S ribosomal RNA". It matches the Rfam family "Bacterial small subunit ribosomal RNA", at positions 28 to 523 of the family's 1533-position model. The record is from RNAcentral.
GAUGAACGCUGGCGGCGUGCCUAAUACAUGCAAGUCGAGCGAAUGGAUUAAGAGCUUGCUCUUAUGAAGUUAGCGGCGGACGGGUGAGUAACACGUGGGUAACCUGCCCAUAAGACUGGGAUAACUCCGGGAAACCGGGGCUAAUACCGGAUAACAUUUUGAACCGCAUGGUUCGAAAUUGAAAGGCGGCUUCGGCUGUCACUUAUGGAUGGACCCGCGUCGCAUUAGCUAGUUGGUGAGGUAACGGCUCACCAAGGCAACGAUGCGUAGCCGGCCUGAGAGGGUGGUCGGCCACACUGGGACUGAGACACGGCCCAGACUCCUACUGGAGGCAGCAGUAGGGAAUCUUCCGCAAUGGACGAAAGUCUGACGGAGCAACGCCGCGUGAGUGAUGAAGGCUUUCGGGACGUAAAACUCUGUUGUUAGGGAAAAACAAGUGCUAGUUGAAUAAGCUGGCACCUUGACGGUACCUAACCAGAAAGCCACGGCUAACUACGUGCCAGCCGCCGCUGUAA